AUGGAUCCCAACAAAAUUAGUAAAUUAGGCUUCGUUUUGGGAUUGCGGGAAAAUUGCGUUAUAUGCGCUGAGAAAAUACGAUGAAAAAAAUAUCCUAUUUGUUGUUACGAUAUAUUUUUUUUACGAUUCCACCGGAGAACACAAAAGUAUAUUUUUAUAUACUUUUAUUCCAACUUCAUUUUAUCUAAUAGCGUCAUUUUCAUUUUAUCUAAUAGCGUCAUAUGAGCCUCAAUAUGAAACUAAGCCUUAUAGUAACUAUUACGUAAUUACAGUAAAUAUAUCUUAGUGGGGUAAUUAACAAAAUAAUUUUUCAAUCAUAGUUCCUCAACAGCUAGCGCAUUUUACCAGAAAUCCCAGCCUUAAUUUUUACUUCAAUCAAAUUAUUAAUCUGCCAAAGUAUUUUACUUCUCUUAUAAAGGAUUGAAAUCACAAUGGAUUCAAUUGACUAAAAUAAAAAAAAUUCUCAUGUAAAUAUUCGAUUUUUUUCUGACUUUAAUUUAAAAACCUAUAUUGCUUUUUAAAAAUUUUAGAAAUAUUUUCAAAAGGUUACGGCAUUAAUAGAGAGCACGAAAUGACCAAACUAUUUUUUCUUGUUAUAUAAAAAAAUAAUUUUUAAUAUAUUUUGGUGUUGUUAAAAAUAUUUUCAGUAUAAAUUAUAAGAAAUAGAUGAAAUAGUGACAAAAUCCUGAUAAAGCAUCAACUUAAAUUUUGAGGGUGUGAAAUAUAGAUUUUAAAAAUUAGGAAGAAAAAGUAAAAAAAAACUAGUAUUUAUAGAAAAAUGUUAUAUACUUUAGUUUUAUAAAUUUGAUGGUCAUGUAAUUAUUAU
This 826-nucleotide long non-coding RNA is filed under the name Ananas comosus (pineapple). Its description in RNAcentral is "long non-coding RNA (ACOM_LNC010978)". The record is from RNAcentral. Lineage: Eukaryota; Viridiplantae; Streptophyta; Magnoliopsida; Poales; Bromeliaceae.